UCCGAGAGAAGAAGGUGAGGACCUUCGGUUUUGAGAAGAGACCGUUUCUCUGUAGCAUGGGUACCAUUCUCUUGUCAGCAGCUUGCUAGCUGAGUGAGCUUAUGACGGUAGGUGAUGGUUUGAUUGAUGACAGGUGUUGGGUGAUGGGCUUAAUGUGGGUUGUAUGAUUUGACGAUAUUGCCCUUUUUUUAAAAUCAAAUGCACCGUUGUAUCUUGCUGAGCUUCUUCCUUCUCCUUGCGAUUUGGGAGUUUCAGCUCUUCUCUGCAAACCUCCCAAAGAAUGCCUUUUUUCCUCUUUCCUUUGAUUGACAAGACUGAAAGCUCUUUGUUUCUCCGAUGUAUAUAGAGGUUUCUAUGUUUCUGAUGCCACAUUUUCCAACUAUCAUCAUCAUGAUUCACGGUAACUGUGCCUCAUUUUCAUUGUUCUUUUCUUCCUCUUCAGUUGCUUGCUUCUUGGUUCUGAGCUAUAGCCUCGCUUCUUUUUCCUACUUUCUCUUUUCUUUGUAAGAAUUGCUAUCUUGCUGUCUUCUUCCGUAAGGUUUAAUUCCACUGUUAUUCUUUGAUUUUAUCUCCUUUUUCAGCGUAUUGCCUGCAUUGUCGUUCUUAUUUGGUUUUUUCCCCCCUAAAAUUUAUGCCCUCCUAAUCUGUUACUGUUGCAUUGCCUAUUUGUUUUGCUAUUCGGCUCGAUUUGUUUUUUCUCUUCUUUCUCAUGCGGUUUAUUUAAAUUUAGUUUUCUACCGUGGCCUCCUGAGCUGUGUUUUCCACUUUCCUCCUAUCAACAGUUCUUGCAUCACUGUUUUUGUCUUUUUUAGUAGCUCCCAUUCGUGCUUUCUUGCUACGUACAGGUUAUCUUACCCCACCUUCUGUUUUAUGCUCUUUUUCCUUUUAACCUUGACUUUGUUAUACUUUUUCCCGCUUUGUUCUCUGCUACUUGUUGUGCCGCAUUUACUCUUUGUUAUUGUAUCUUCUUAACCUUUGCCCCUCUCGCUAUUUUAUUGGAUGCAGAAACAAGUGCUUUCCUCUUCUCUGUUGCUCUCCUGUUUGCUGAUAAAGAUUUGUUAUAUAUAUCUAAGGUUAAGGUGACUGGAUAUGCAUUCCCAGUAAAAUGAAGUUAUUUGAUACCUAGCUUCUUUCUUUGACCUAUCAGACAUUUAUUGAUCAGGCGUUUCAAGUUCAUCUGAAUAUGACUGGAUUCUCUUUUUUUGUUUUUUGUUUUUUUUUGUUUUUCUCUUUUUUCCUUUUCUUCAUCGAUUUUUUUCCUCCUCGGCCGCCAUGUCAUCUCCCUCUUCUCUAUCGGCUCCCUUGAAG
Molecule: long non-coding RNA, 1308 nt
Filed under: Coffea arabica (coffee)
Lineage: Eukaryota; Viridiplantae; Streptophyta; Magnoliopsida; Gentianales; Rubiaceae
Description: long non-coding RNA (CARA_LNC001636)
Source: RNAcentral